CUUUCAUCAGAAAGGACCUGAUGUCAUCUCACUAAUAUCUGAAAACUUCACAAUGGAUUGUUUUAAGAUGAAAACCAAGGAGCUACUUUUGAACCACCAGCAAAUGGAAGUAUAGAAUCAGAGGAAGAGUUGGCAGAGAUCCACUAUAAUGUUGAAUAUCUGGGACAGACACGCAAGCAAUGUGCGGAGGGCAGAGAGAAGAGGACACACAGAGAAGAGAUAAACUUACAACCUAGAUUAUUAAUCUUUGUAACAAAGAUGGCGGCCACUGAAGGUGAAGACAGAAGGGGCUGUGUGGGCCGGGGUUACCGGAGGUUUGGAGGCUUACUCUGUGACCCACAAAGGGUGUGGCUCUAGAAACAAAAAAUUGGAGUGUAUUGGUGGGGAGCCCUGGGGAUUGAAGACAUAGGCUGGGAUUGGUUGUGAAGCGUCAUUCAUGAUACUUCAAUCAACUCUGGAAAAUGAAGACUGUAAGAGAUUUUAGUCAGAAGGUUGUAUAGUUGCUCAUGGGUAGAUGCUGAAGGAAGUAGGGUGAAAACAAGGGCACAAGGACAUGCUCCAAGUGGUUGGGUGGUUUCACAGCACUUCCUGGUCGGAGGUCUGGGGGAGAUAACAAGCUGAACAAGAAAGAGCAGGUCAGGAUCACUCCCAAGGGCAGCCAUCAGCCCUCCACCCCUACCAGUCAGCAAAUAUUCAUUUGCAUGAAUAUAGAAGCAUCCUCCUUCCUCUUCCUUGCCUCUGAGACCUUCCCUAGGACUUAUGGUAAGGAAUGCGUUGAUUAAAAGCACCCGGAAUGGUGCAGCUAAUUGUAACUUAA
This is a long non-coding RNA of Chinchilla lanigera (long-tailed chinchilla), 817 nucleotides long. RefSeq lists it as uncharacterized. The transcript has 2 exons. Lineage: Eukaryota; Metazoa; Chordata; Mammalia; Rodentia; Chinchillidae. The record is from RefSeq and is a predicted model, not a curated record.